AGAUUUGGGGGUGAUUUGGUUGUGCCAUCUUCAUCCCGUUGAUCACCAGGGUUGAUUAGACUGAUAUGACUGGUUAGGUGGAUGUCCCUGUCCUCUCUUGCUGCUCUAGGUGCAUCCUUUCCAAAGCUUUGCAUGGGGUGGAAGAGGACAACCUUCCCUGACACAGGAGGACCGUGCUUCAGCAAGGGUGUCUGAGUAACUGUGUUUCUGCUAGAAUAUUCAAACAGGCUCUCCAGAGCACCAGUGAUUUAGUGUUAGGGCCUGUUACUGGAUCGCAUCAGUCCUCCCUAAAUUACUUUAACUUACAAGUUUAACAUCUUCCUAAUGCUGAGUCUU
RNAcentral lists this small nuclear RNA (336 nucleotides) under Castor canadensis (American beaver). Its description in RNAcentral is "7SK RNA (ENSCCNG00000027209.1)". It matches the Rfam family "7SK RNA". From Rfam's summary of the family: 7SK was discovered as an abundant small nuclear RNA in the mid-70s but a possible function has only recently been suggested. Two independent studies have found that 7SK RNA binds the CDK9/cyclin T complex (known as elongation factor P-TEFb). P-TEFb activates transcription by phosphorylating the C-terminal domain of RNA polymerase II. Lineage: Eukaryota; Metazoa; Chordata; Mammalia; Rodentia; Castoridae. The record is from Rfam by way of RNAcentral.